UGAAGCGGCAACAGCUCAAAUUUGAAAUCUGGCCCCCAGGGCCCGAGUUGUAAUUUGCAGAGGAUGCUUUUGGCGCGGUGCCUUCCGAGUUCCCUGGAACGGGACGCCAUAGAGGGUGAGAGCCCCGUCUGGUCGGACGCCUAGCCUGUGUAAAGCUCCUUCGACGAGUCGAGUAGUUUGGGAAUGCUGCUCUAAAUGGGAGGUAUAUGUCUUCUAAAGCUAAAUACCGGCCAGAGACCGAUAGCGCACAAGUAGAGUGAUCGAAAGAUGAAAAGCACUUUGAAAAGAGGGUUAAAUAGUACGUGAAAUUGUUGAAAGGGAAGCGCUUGUGACCAGACUUGGGCCCGGUGGAUCAUCCAGCGUUCUCGCUGGUGCACUCCGCCGGGUUCAGGCCAGCAUCAGUUCGCCGCGGGGGGAAAAGGCUUCGGGAACGUGGCUCCUACGGGAGUGUUAUAGCCCGUUGCAUAAUACCCUGGGGCGGACUGAGGUUCGCGCUCCGCAAGG
RNAcentral lists this ribosomal RNA (504 nucleotides) under Purpureocillium lilacinum. RNAcentral's name for it is "partial large subunit ribosomal RNA". It matches the Rfam family "Eukaryotic large subunit ribosomal RNA", at positions 94 to 609 of the family's 3401-position model. The record is from RNAcentral. Lineage: Eukaryota; Fungi; Ascomycota; Sordariomycetes; Hypocreales; Ophiocordycipitaceae.